GGGAGCUAUACAUGCAGUCGACGCUUCUUUUUCCACCGGAGCUUGCUCCACCGGAAAAAGAGGAGUGGCGAACGGGUGAGUAACACGUGGGUAACCUGCCCAUCAGAAGGGGAUAACACUUGGAAACAGGUGCUAAUACCGUAUAACAAUCGAAACCGCAUGGUUUUGAUUUGAAAGGCGCUUUCGGGUGUCGCUGAUGGAUGGACCCGCGGUGCAUUAGCUAGUUGGUGAGGUAACGGCUCACCAAGGCGACGAUGCAUAGCCGACCUGAGAGGGUGAUCGGCCACAUUGGGACUGAGACACGGCCCAAACUCCUACGGGAGGCAGCAGUAGGGAAUCUUCGGCAAUGGACGAAAGUCUGACCGAGCAACGCCGCGUGAGUGAAGAAGGUUUUCGGAUCGUAAAACUCUGUUGUUAGAGAAGAACAAGGAUGAGAGUAACUGUUCAUCCCUUGACGGUAUCUAACCAGAAAGCCACGGCUAACUACGUGCCAGCAGCCGCGGUAAUACGUAGGUGGCAAGCGUUGUCCGGAUUUAUUGGGCGUAAAGCGAGCGCAGGCGGUUUCUUAAGUCUGAUGUGAAAGCCCCCGGCUCAACCGGGGAGGGUCAUUGGAAACUGGGAGACUUGAGUGCAGAAGAGGAGAGUGGAAUUCCAUGUGUAGCGGUGAAAUGCGUAGAUAUAUGGAGGAACACCAGUGGCGAAGGCGGCUCUCUGGUCUGUAACUGACGCUGAGGCUCGAAAGCGUGGGGAGCAAACAGGAUUAGAUACCCUGGUAGUCCACGCCGUAAACGAUGAGUGCUAAGUGUUGGAGGGUUUCCGCCCUUCAGUGCUGCAGCUAACGCAUUAAGCACUCCGCCUGGGGAGUACGACCGCAAGGUUGAAACUCAAAGGAAUUGACGGGGGCCCGCACAAGCGGUGGAGCAUGUGGUUUAAUUCGAAGCAACGCGAAGAACCUUACCAGGUCUUGACAUCCUUUGACCACUCUAGAGAUAGAGCUUCCCCUUCGGGGGCAAAGUGACAGGUGGUGCAUGGUUGUCGUCAGCUCGUGUCGUGAGAUGUUGGGUUAAGU
Molecule: ribosomal RNA, 1069 nt
Filed under: Enterococcus sp.
Lineage: Bacteria; Bacillati; Bacillota; Bacilli; Lactobacillales; Enterococcaceae
Description: bacterial SSU rRNA
Rfam family: Bacterial small subunit ribosomal RNA
Source: RNAcentral